UACGUAGGGGGCGAGCGUUGUCCGGAGUUACUGGGCGUAAAGGGCAUGCAGGCGGUCGGACGCGUUUUGUGUGACAGCGGGUGGCUCAACUGCCCGAGCAUACGAAAGACGGUUGGACUUGAGGACUCGAGAGGGACACGGAAUUCCGGGUGGAGUGGUGAAAUGCGUAGAGAUCCGGAGGAACACCGAAGGCGAAGGCAGUGUCCUGGCGAGUGACUGACGCUGAGGUGCGAAAGCCAGGGGAGCGAACGGG
Molecule: ribosomal RNA, 253 nt
Filed under: uncultured bacterium
Lineage: Bacteria
Description: partial 16S ribosomal RNA
Rfam family: Bacterial small subunit ribosomal RNA
Source: RNAcentral